Drosophila suzukii is the source of this 966-nucleotide non-coding RNA. The record is from RefSeq and is a predicted model, not a curated record. Lineage: Eukaryota; Metazoa; Arthropoda; Insecta; Diptera; Drosophilidae.
UUCGUUGUGUGUUGUUCUUAUUCAGUCAUUAUAACAUUUCCGAGAGUUUUAAAUAUAUAUUUUAGAGUUUAAACAACCUAUAUUAUUUAUUUGUGCUGUGCAGUGUGAUGAAAAUCCCUAUCCAUAUUACUUAAUAAAAAUGUGGUUACUUCCUUGGCUUUGUUUACUUUUGAUAUUUUGUUGCUGCUUUAAGUUUGGCGACCUUGCCUGCGGCUAAACAGAGACACUUGGCGAAAAUUCCGCCCACUGACCGCCCCCAAAUUUGUCGCCCACAACCAACAAGUGGGUGGUGAGAAAGGGGGAGGGGCCGGGCGAAGGAAAAUAAAAGGAAGAGCGUGCAAAAUACCGACGCAGCACGUGCCAAAAGUAACUCAAAACUGCGCAAACUCAGCGUCACUUGCGAAUGUGCAACGCACCGCGUGUAGCCGUUGUGGAUGCACUCAGAAAAACCAGUCCUAUGCUUGUUAUAUAUAGAACCAAUUUAUUAUUGUAAAAUUAAAUAUUCAUCUUUAAAAGGGACAAACCUUUACAAUCCAGGCAUGACAUCACUCAAAAAUAGAUCGAUAUUUUACUUUACAUUUCUUAUCGGGUGUGUGUAUCUUAAGACACACAAAUACUAUUCAAGUAACACAAAUUAAUUGUGCAUAUUAAAAUACAUACAUUUCUUAGACUUUUCGAUUGAAUUGAUUUCUUGGCUUCAGAAAAAAAUUUUAAAUGUAUACAAUAGAAAAAAAACGUCCAAACAAAAUUAUUUCCAUUGCUAACGAUUCCUGCAAUUUUUUGACAUCAAAAGCAUUCUCUUAAAAUAAAAGCCGGUUAUUAUAAUCGCUUAUCUAGAAACGUGUUUGCGUUAAAAUGACAAGUAAAAAAUUAUUUUGUUUUAUUUAUAUCAUCAUUGUCUUUGCAUUUUUUUUUAAAUAAAUGUCGAAGCCCUUGGUAACUAAUUUGAAUGGCUUUGUUAGUAUC